AAUCUGGAGAAGAGAAUGCUCCAAUAAGAUCUUAUAGCGGCUUUCCAGUACCUGAAGGGAGGGCCUACAGUAAAGCUUGGGAGGAACUAUUUAUAAGAAUAGUGUCUUGGAGAAUGUAUCUGCACUUAUAAGUAUCUACUUCCUGAGAGAUGGUGGAACUAAUUACACCAAAACUUCUAUGACAAAAGAUGGCAUAUCCUAUCAAACAAAACUAAAGGCAGAAAUAUCACAGUUUACACCUAAACAUGUUGCUAGCCAGAGGCCUUCCACAGAGAUCAUCUUCAGUUUUGGCUCUUUCUACUGCUUGAGGCAGGUGAGAGAAUGGACUUUGGACAUGUAACACUACCAAAAGCUGACAUAUGUUGGAGGAUUGCUGAGACUUGUCAACUUCUUUGAUGGCAUCACCCACAUAAAACAGAUGGAAAUGUGGUUGUGAAAUUCCUAUACAUUGAUUUCCUGUCUGUGGUAUCAGCUAACUAAAUAAAUAAGAACUUCUAAACCAUAUGGUCCCUCAACUGGUUCUUGAUUUCCUACUUUAAGGAAAGGAGAAAUGUGAGCUUUAAUGUACAUCAUUGAAUUGAAAAUUAUAUUUGAGAAGGUACUACCAAGACUGUUUCCUUAUACUGUGUUAAUGACCAAGAAAAAAAUAAAAUAAAAUAAAAACAAGAACUGUACAUUGCACACUGGCUUUAGUAAAGACAGCUGGGGACUCAUUAUUUUUCCCCCCAUGAUGUCUGUGUGUUGUGUUUUCAGAGCACCCAGUAUAUAGUCUGGCCAAGUAUGCACAGGAGGUAAUAACUUUCCAUAAAUUCAGAAAUUGAUAGGCUAGCAAAAUUUAGUUCAAUUUAUUGAUUCUGAUACACUUUAAAGAAUUAUAAAAAAUAUUGACUGCAAAUACACUCUCAAGCAAAGUUGCAGUUACAUACCAGUAUUCACUGUGAACAAUCUCUUCCACUCUGCUACCUUCAAAUUUUCCUUAUGACAGGAAUUUCUGAGCUAUAAAUGAAUCCUUUAGGAAAGGGGUGCUUUAAGAAAAUAAAUAAAUAAAUAAAAUGUUGAUACAAUAGAUUCAUGCUUAUAAUAAAAUAAUAUAAGUAUAUUUUUUUCUCAUUUUGAAGAGGAUAGGAUUUUCUAAAAGACCACAUUUGUACUAUUUUGCCUCCUGAAAGGACUUUUCUCUGCAUAUGCUCUUGAAAAUAUCACAGGCUGCACAAAUCAGAAUGCCUAGAUAGAAACAGAAACAGAAACAAAGAAAAGAAAAAUAUGUUUCUUUUUCUUUUCUAUACAUCUUUACAUCUUUUAGUUUGUUGAUGUUGUUGUUUUGUG
This is a long non-coding RNA of Gallus gallus (chicken), 1326 nucleotides long. NCBI's taxonomy places the organism in Eukaryota, Metazoa, Chordata, Aves, Galliformes, Phasianidae. The record is from Ensembl.